GAUGAACGCUGGCGGCGUGCCUAAUACAUGCAAGUCGAGCGAACGGACGAGAAGCUUGCUUUUCUGAUGUUAGCGGCGGACGGGUGAGUAACACGUGGAUAACCUACCUAUAAGACUGGGAUAACUUCGGGAAACCGGAGCUAAUACCGGAUAAUAUUUUGAACCGCAUGGUUCAAAAGUGAAAGACGGUCUUGCUGUCACUUAUAGAUGGAUCCGCGCUGCAUUAGCUAGUUGGUAGGGUAACGGCUUACCAAGGCAACGAUGCAUAGCCGACCUGAGAGGGUGAUCGGCCACACUGGAACUGAGACACGGUCCAGACUCCUACGGGAGGCAGCAGUAGGGAAUCUUCCGCAAAGGGCGAAAGCCUGACGGAGCAACGCCGCGUGAGUGAUGAAGGUCUUCGGAUCGUAAAACUCUGUUAUUAGGGAAGAACAUAUGUGUAAGUAACUGUGCACAUCUUGACGGUACCUAAUCAGAAAGCCACGGCUAACUACGUG
This 497-nucleotide ribosomal RNA is filed under the name uncultured bacterium. RNAcentral's name for it is "partial 16S ribosomal RNA". It matches the Rfam family "Bacterial small subunit ribosomal RNA", at positions 28 to 507 of the family's 1533-position model. The record is from RNAcentral.